AACGAACGCUGGCGGCAUGCCUAACACAUGCAAGUCGAACGAGAUCUUCGGGUCUAGUGGCGCACGGGUGCGUAACGCGUGGGAAUCUGCCCUUUGGUUCGGAAUAACAAUUGGAAACGACUGCUAAUACCGGAUGAUGACGAAAGUCCAAAGAUUUAUCGCCAGAGGAUGAGCCCGCGUAGGAUUAGCUAGUUGGUGUGGUAAAGGCGCACCAAGGCGACGAUCCUUAGCUGGUCUGAGAGGAUGAUCAGCCACACUGGGACUGAGACACGGCCCAGACUCCUGCGGGAGGCAGAAGUGGGGAAUAUUGGACAAGGGGCGAAAGCCUGAUCCAGCAAUGCCGCGUGAGUGAUGAAGGCCUUAGGGUUGAAAAGCUCUUUUACCCGGGAUGAUAAUGCCAGUCCCGGGAGAAUAAGCUCCGGCUAACUCCGUGCCAGCCCCCGCAGUAA
Molecule: ribosomal RNA, 449 nt
Filed under: uncultured bacterium
Lineage: Bacteria
Description: partial 16S ribosomal RNA
Rfam family: Bacterial small subunit ribosomal RNA
Source: RNAcentral